GGGUUGUGAGGUUAAGCGACUAAGCGUACACGGUGGAUGCCCUGGCAGUCAGAGGCGAUGAAGGGCGUGCUAAUCUGCGAUAAGCGCCGGUAAGGUGAUAUGAACCGUUAUAACCGGCGAUACCCGAAUGGGGAAACCCAGUGUGACUCGUCACACUAUCAUUAACUGAAUCCAUAGGUUAAUGAGGCGAACCGGGGGAACUGAAACAUCUAAGUACCCCGAGGAAAAGAAAUCAACCGAGAUUCCCCCAGUAGCGGCGAGCGAACGGGGAGGAGCCCAGAGCCUGAAUCAGCAUGUGUGUUAGUGGAAGCGUCUGGAAAGGCGCGCGAUACAGGGUGACAGCCCCGUACACAAAAGCGCAUGUGUUGUGAGCUCGAUGAGUAGGGCGGGACACGUGGUAUCCUGUCUGAAUAUGGGGGGACCAUCCUCCAAGGCUAAAUACUCCUGACUGACCGAUAGUGAACCAGUACCGUGAGGGAAAGGCGAAAAGAACCCCGGCGAGGGGAGUGAAAAAGAACCUGAAACCGUGUACGUACAAGCAGUGGGAGCACAGGUUUACCUGUGUGACUGCGUACCUUUUGUAUAAUGGGUCAGCGACUUAUAUUCUGUAGCAAGGUUAACCGAAUAGGGGAGCCGGAGGGAAACCGAGUCUUAAUUGGGCGUUAAGUUGCAGGGUAUAGACCCGAAACCCGGUGAUCUAGCCAUGGGCAGGUUGAAGGUUGGGUAACACUAACUGGAGGACCGAACCGACUAAUGUUGAAAAAUUAGCGGAUGACCUGUGGCUGGGGGUGAAAGGCCAAUCAAACCGGGAGAUAGCUGGUUCUCCCCGAAAGCUAUUUAGGUAGCGCCUCGUGAACUCAUCUCCGGGGGUAGAGCACUGUUUCGGCUAGGGGGCCAUCCCGGCUUACCAACCCGAUGCAAACUGCGAAUACCGGAGAAUGUUAUCACGGGAGACACACGGCGGGUGCUAACGUCCGUCGUGAAGAGGGAAACAACCCAGACCGCCAGCUAAGGUCCCAAAGUCAUGGUUAAGUGGGAAACGAUGUGGGAAGGCCCAGACAGCCAGGAUGUUGGCUUAGAAGCAGCCAUCAUUUAAAGAAAGCGUAAUAGCUCACUGGUCGAGUCGGCCUGCGCGGAAGAUGUAACGGGGCUAAACCAUGCACCGAAGCUGCGGCAGCGACGCUGAUGCGUUGUUGGGUAGGGGAGCGUUCUGUAAGCCUGCGAAGGUGGCCUGUGAGGGUUGCUGGAGGUAUCAGAAGUGCGAAUGCUGACAUAAGUAACGAUAAAGCGGGUGAAAAGCCCGCUCGCCGGAAGACCAAGGGUUCCUGUCCAACGUUAAUCGGGGCAGGGUGAGUCGACCCCUAAGGCGAGGCCGAAAGGCGUAGUCGAUGGGAAACGGGUUAAUAUUCCCGUACUUGGUGUUACUGCGAAGGGGGGACGGAGAAGGCUAUGUUGGCCGGGCGACGGUUGUCCCGGUUUAAGCGUGUAGGUGUGUGUUCCAGGUAAAUCCGGUUCACUUUAACACUGAGGCGUGAUGACGAGGCACUACGGUGCUGAAGCAACAAAUGCCCUGCUUCCAGGAAAAGCCUCUAAGCAUCAGGUAACACGAAAUCGUACCCCAAACCGACACAGGUGGUCAGGUAGAGAAUACCAAGGCGCUUGAGAGAACUCGGGUGAAGGAACUAGGCAAAAUGGUGCCGUAACUUCGGGAGAAGGCACGCUGACAUGUAGGUGAAGUGAUUUACUCACGGAGCUGAAGUCAGUCGAAGAUACCAGCUGGCUGCAACUGUUUAUUAAAAACACAGCACUGUGCAAACACGAAAGUGGACGUAUACGGUGUGACGCCUGCCCGGUGCCGGAAGGUUAAUUGAUGGGGUCAGCGCAAGCGAAGCUCCUGAUCGAAGCCCCGGUAAACGGCGGCCGUAACUAUAACGGUCCUAAGGUAGCGAAAUUCCUUGUCGGGUAAGUUCCGACCUGCACGAAUGGCGUAAUGAUGGCCAGGCUGUCUCCACCCGAGACUCAGUGAAAUUGAACUCGCUGUGAAGAUGCAGUGUACCCGCGGCAAGACGGAAAGACCCCGUGAACCUUUACUAUAGCUUGACACUGAACAUUGAGCCUUGAUGUGUAGGAUAGGUGGGAGGCUUUGAAGCGUGGACGCCAGUCUGC
Molecule: ribosomal RNA, 2166 nt
Filed under: Salmonella enterica subsp. enterica serovar Enteritidis
Lineage: Bacteria; Pseudomonadati; Pseudomonadota; Gammaproteobacteria; Enterobacterales; Enterobacteriaceae
Description: partial 23S ribosomal RNA
Rfam family: Bacterial large subunit ribosomal RNA
Source: RNAcentral